GUGCCCUUGAGGCGUGGCUUCCGGAGCUAACGCGUUAAGUCGACCGCCUGGGGAGUACGGCCGCAAGGUUAAAACUCAAAUGAAUUGACGGGGGCCCGCACAAGCGGUGGAGCAUGUGGUUUAAUUCGAUGCAACGCGAAGAACCUUACCUGGUCUUGACAUCCACGGAAGUUUUCAGAGAUGAGAAUGUGCCUUCGGGAACCGUGAGACAGGUGCUGCAUGGCUGUCGUCAGCUCGUGUUGUGAAAUGUUGGGUUAAGUCCCGCAACGAGCGCAACCCUUAUCCUUUGUUGCCAGCGGUCCGGCCGGGAACUCAAAGGAGACUGCCAGUGAUAAACUGGAGGAAGGUGGGGAUGACGUCAAGUCAUCAUGGCCCUUACGACCAGGGCUACACACGUGCUACAAUGGCGCAUACAAAGAGAAGCGACCUCGCGAGAGCAAGCGGACCUCAUAAAGUGCGUCGUAGUCCGGAUUGGAGUCUGCAACUCGACUCCAUGAAGUCGGAAUCGCUAGUAAUCGUGGAUCAGAAUGCCACGGUGAAUACGUUCCCGGGCCUUGUACACACCGCCCGUCACACCAUGGGAGUGGGUUGCAAAAGAAGUAGGUAGCUUAACCUUCGGGAGGGCGCUUACCACUUUGUGAUUCAUGACUGGGGUGAAGUCGUAACAAGGUAACCGUAGGGGAACCUGCGGUUGGAUCAC
RNAcentral lists this ribosomal RNA (700 nucleotides) under Escherichia coli. Its description in RNAcentral is "partial 16S ribosomal RNA". It matches the Rfam family "Bacterial small subunit ribosomal RNA", at positions 826 to 1526 of the family's 1533-position model. The record is from RNAcentral. Lineage: Bacteria; Pseudomonadati; Pseudomonadota; Gammaproteobacteria; Enterobacterales; Enterobacteriaceae. RNAcentral also lists the same sequence under 2 other names.